UACGUAGGGGGCUAGCGUUGUCCGGAAUCAUUGGGCGUAAAGGGCGCGUAGGCGGCGUGACAAGUCACUUGUGAAAUCUCCGGGCUUAACUCGGAACGGUCAAGUGAUACUGUCGUGCUAGAGUACAGAAGGGGCAACUGGAAUUCUCGGUGUAGCGGUGAAAUGCGUAGAUAUCGAGAGGAACACCUGCGGCGAAGGCGGCCUGCUGGGCAGUUGCUGACACUGAGGCGCGACAGCGUGGGGAGCAAACAGG
This 253-nucleotide ribosomal RNA is filed under the name uncultured bacterium. RNAcentral describes it as "partial 16S ribosomal RNA". It matches the Rfam family "Bacterial small subunit ribosomal RNA", at positions 524 to 776 of the family's 1533-position model. The record is from RNAcentral.